CUGGGAUUACAGGCGUGAGCCACUGCACCCGGCCCCACAGGACUCUGUUUUACAACUUCUUUCUAUCUUCUCCAUCUUAAAUUUAUUUGCAGAAGUCAGGAGAUACGCACACACACACACACGCACAUACACACACACACGCACAUACACACAUACAUGCCCAUGCACUUGCGUAAGCACCCAUAAACAUGUAAAUAUUAUGUAAUUGAUUAGUUGUAAUUUCCCUGAGACUUUUGUUAAAUGAUUUGAAAAAAUGCAAGAAAAGGUAUCUUUUAUUUAACAGUGUUGCAUGUUUUGUUAUACUGUAAUUAUGUGAAAAUUAGCACUCUUGGUAACUGUUAAUCAGAAUAGAUAGGUGAUUAUAUAAUUCUCUCCUGUUACUAUUCUGAAUAAACAAGAGUCUACUAAAAACAAGUGUUACAUGAAUUCCUUUAAAGGGCAGUAUGCGUGCUUGGCUACUAAUUAGAUAUGGGAAGUGAUCAAGAGGACUAAGGCUGGAUCACUCAGUUUCCUCUUGGGUAAGCUCCUAGACGGUGGCCAUCGACAUUGUAAAUCUAGGGGCAAGCACAGAGUUUGAGGGGCACGGUGAUGACUUAUGUUUUAAAUAUGUUAAGUUUGAGGUUCUUGAGAGACAUUGCAGUGGAGAGGUCUAACAAGAGUUAGAUGUGUGUCUGAAAUUCAGGAGGACAGCUGGGUUGGGUUGCAGACAUAGACUUGGGAAUCCUUAGUAUGUAGGUGGUCGCUGCAGUCCUAAGAGUAGAUAAGAUUAACAAGAAACUGUGUCUUAGCAUCUCCAGCUAUUCUCAGGUUUCUGUUCUGUCCCUCUCCUUGAAUGAUAUUUUCAUACAAGUCAAUAUAUGUUAUUAAGUCAAGUCAUUUGUUCAGCCAAUUAACAGAUAUUAACUUAUAUGAAAAUAUACACAGACAGAAUAUACCCCAAGUUAAUAUAUCAUCAAAAAAUAAAUGUUAUUAUUUAUAUUUAAGGUACAGCAUGAUGUAGUGUAUAUAUAUAUAUAUAUAUAAUGGAAUAUUAAUAUAUCUUAAUUUUAGAUUGAACAAAUAAGAAUUAGGAAAGUAUGUCUUUUAAAUCUAUUUUUUUCCAGCCAUAGAAUGCAUUGUAAAGCUUACAAAACAUUCUCUUUGGAUUUUUCCAUGCUUUAUUCCUGAGUCUUUUAUGUCUAUGAAUUCCAAUGAGAGGUGCUUGGUUCCAAAACAAAUGUAAAUAGGUUUAGUUUUCAUUCCGUUUCUUUAUGAGCAUUGAUCAUUGAGAAUUUACAGUGCUCAUGUCAAUGAAACAGGCAGAUGCCUGCCCCAAAGUGGACAGAACUACAAAUCUGGCAAAGCUAAGGAAGGAGGAGGGUGAAGGUCAUACGAGAGUUAGUGGAUUAAUAAUAUGAAUGAUUAUGAUUUAUUAUAUUUCUGUAAUUUUCAUUAUUACAGAGGAGAAGUGUGUCCUGUACUCAGACAUGCUCCAGUCCAGCUGCUUCGCUUUCUGCUCAGAUUUGUUGGUCUGGGAUUUCUUAAAGCACUGGUGAUGAGAGAGAAUUUAGGAGGUACAGACAUGCUAUGGCAUAAUUUUGGAUUCUUUAAUGAGGAAGGGAUUCCUGCUUCAGUUCUCUAGUAAUCCUGCCUAUUUAAUGAAUGGGAAAGCUCAGUUCAGUGCUAGUGAGUCUUUAACAACUGUCUACUGUCUACCAUUAACUUCAGAGAGACAGACAGACAGAGAGAGAGGUGGGUGACAUACCUACUCAUACUAAUGUUCCAUGUAGAGGACUGACACAAAAUUUAUUUUCCUUUUUAUGAAAAGGUACUUAAGUUAAAAAAAAUGAGUUGACUUAAAGAAAAACGUUAAAUGAUACUACUCUAGGUGGUAUGUGGAUAUGGCUUCUAGUUGCUGUCCCUAACCUUUCAUCUUCCCUCUAUGUCACCUGUGAAGCCCCGACAUUUAGUUAUUCCUAAGCAUAGCUUCCUUGAUCAACAUUCUACAGUGGUCCUCUCCUGAAUGGAGUCUUGCUAGCAGACCAUCCUUUCUUUUCAUAGUCCACCUUAUUACGGACUACAUCCUGUCUCCCUCAAUUUUGGAUGUUUUAGGCUCCUGGGCUCUGUACCUUUGCUCCUUCUUCUCUUCUUCCCUUCCCCAACCUGCUCACGGCAGGAGUUUGAUUCCAAGUCCCACCCACACAUCAAAGCCCUGCUGUAGUGCCUUAGUUACUGACUGCAACUGUACCAACCGUCACAUCUUUCUUGCUUUUAUGAAUUUCUGUUGCAUCUUUGAUCAGUUAUCACAGUUCGGCACUUAAUUGCACUCCCAUUGUUUCAGGUACUUGUCUGUAUCUUAGCAAAUUAUUUUCCGUAUCCUAGCAAAUGUCUUGCUAGCAGGGAUGGUCAUUUAUUCUUGUCUACGGAUACUGUGCAUAGAACAGUGUUGGACAGUUGAUUAUCAGAAAUACAUGUUUAAGCGGUUUAACCAAAUAAACUGUGUUUUCUAAAUAAACUGUAAUAACCAAAUGUGUAACCAAAUAAACUGUAUUUUCCAAAAGCUGGUAUGCACCUAGAAGUGUCCCAAGAUGCAUGAGUUUGUUUUUUUAGCACAGUGGUUUUUAAACAUGGCCACAGAUUCUUGAUCCCCAUCCCUUGAAACUGGCUGGCCCUAUGACUGCUUUGACCAAUGUACUAUGACAAAAGCUACACUAUGUGACAUCCAAGGCUUGAUCAUAAAAGACUGUGCGGCAUCUGAACCAUUAUUCUUGGAGUUCUGAGCCACACUAUAAGUAUGACGACCCUGUGUCCGCCAGGCUGCAAGGAAGUCCAAGCUAUAUUGAGAGGCCCCAGAAUUAUGAUCAACAACUCAGGAAAAUACUCAACUUGAAAGAGAUUAGUGAAUGUGGACUCGAAAGGUCUAAGACAGAGAAAGAAGUUGCUGUAGAACACUUUUGCAAAACAGUGGUCUCCAAAGAGCCAUGAAACAGCUUGCUGAUUUUUGAAUUUCUGGGUUUAUUACAAAUGACUACAUAAAAGCCGUGUGGUAAGAAACGAACUUCUGGUAACAGAUGGUGGAAAAUCACCAGUAAGACCCAAACCUAACAGAGACUGCUUCUGGAGCCAUGGUUCUCACUAAGGGUUAUUAGCAUCAUUCUUUGAUGAUGGGCAUUGAGGCAUCAGAACUCAUGGAUAUCACAGUUCCUGUGUGGAGAGGAAGCUUCAGAUGGUGCUCUUGCACAGACGGGACUGCCAUUCCCAUUUUAGUGGAUCUCUUAAAAGUUCGAAUGGCUCCUCUAAUGCCUGAUGUGAAUGGAACCUUUCUCUCUGCUUCAGUCAAGAAUCUGGUGACAAAGAAGCUUCAUCCUUUCAAUCUUACAAUUUCAAUCUCCUAUCUCAAGAAAGCUCAUUUCUAUGUAUUACCAGUGCAUCCUCCACAUGCUCUUCUGCAGUUGUUCCUUCUGCGGGAAAUGAUCUCUCCUUUUGUCGAGGCUUGGUGAAAUCCUUUGAAAUUCUGUUGAUUCUGUAAGAGCCAACACAAAUACCAACUGCCCUGAAUACUUUCUGGCUAAACUGCCACAAUGAACGAGGAUUCCUCACCCAUGUCCCUCCCUUUCCCUUCCUUUCUUUUUAUAAUGGUAUGCUUAUUGUUUUUUAAUGUAACAUUUUUCUUACAAAAGGAAUACACAUUCAGUGUUAAAAUGGAAAUGUAGAAAAGUCUUCAGAAGAAAAUAAAAAUCACCUGCAAAUCCA
This 3732-nucleotide long non-coding RNA is filed under the name Homo sapiens (human). Its description in RNAcentral is "HSALNT0299480". The record is from RNAcentral. Lineage: Eukaryota; Metazoa; Chordata; Mammalia; Primates; Hominidae.